Molecule: long non-coding RNA, 194 nt
Organism: Loxodonta africana (African savanna elephant)
Lineage: Eukaryota; Metazoa; Chordata; Mammalia; Proboscidea; Elephantidae
Rfam family: Six3os1 conserved region 7
Source: Rfam
UGGACCCGGCGCCUGGCCCCCAGAUCUGCAUCGGAAUGCAGAAAAGAUUUAAAAAAAAAAAAGUUUUGAAUUUCUCAAUGAUUUUUCUUCUAGAAAGGCAGCUUAGGAUAAUUAUUUCAGUUUUAUUGAGGGCAGAUUAGCUGAAGUCUGGACGCUGAGUUUCAAUACACGUUGUACACGGGCCGACAAUGUGG